CUUGGAGCAGCGGUGUGCGUCUGGUUCUUUUGUGUUCCACAGCGACACCUGGCCUCCACUUUUCUCACCAGCCUGCUCAAGAGAGAGUGUUGCCAAAUCAGGCCCUGGGUUUUGCUGGGUGAGGACAGGGCUUUAAAUCUGACUCUUGGGCAAAUGCUCUGGCCCAGCCCUCAGUGAUGGAGCUCUGCAAGUGCUCUCCAGCACCACGGAAAAAGUGCUGCUUCCAGAACUGUGUCUGGAAAGAUUGGGGGUUUCUGGAGCCUCCAGAAGCUGUGAGAGAUGAACAGACAGAAUUAAAAUGCAUUGUCAUGUCCUUGGCAGUGCUGUGAGUGGGGGCAGCUCCUUGAUCCAGUGUUGUGAUCCUUGUCCUGUGCUACAUUCACAUGGAAUUUGGAGUUUUCCUUCUUGGCCAGCUAGGUGAGGGAGGCAGUUCCCAGCUUUGCUCUGUGGUAGAGCUACAUCCUAGAGGAGUGGUGCAAUCAAAUGGGCACUGCCACUCUGUGCCUCAGAAAUCUAACAGCUCAUUAAAAAUAAACAAAUAAAAAUAUGUAUUUUUA
This is a long non-coding RNA of Haemorhous mexicanus (house finch), 557 nucleotides long. RefSeq lists it as uncharacterized. NCBI's taxonomy places the organism in Eukaryota, Metazoa, Chordata, Aves, Passeriformes, Fringillidae. The transcript is spliced from 2 exons. The record is from RefSeq and is a predicted model, not a curated record.